UUGUACCGAAAUUUAACGUAAAACCAGCAAAGCUCAUGCGUCUGUGUCGGCAAAUGUUAUAUCAAAUUCAUGGAAUAAUUUUAGUUUGUAAAAGCCAUAACAUCUCUAAGUCAAGCUCUUUUUUUUUUGGCAAUAUGAGAAUGCUGCUCCGCCUUCGACCCUCCUUAAUUCCCAACACUCCAUACUACUUACCAUCAAGACUAGCAACUUCGUACCAUCCCGCUAUAAUAUGGUCACGAUAACUUUCUCUAAGCCUACUCAACCAACUAACUACAUCCUAACCAUUCCGACCGAAUCGUGACAAAAUUACAUCUUAACUAUUCCAACCGCAUCAUGACAAAAUAGCUCCCCAAAACCUACCGUUCCAACUUUGCUGCGACAAAAUAGCUUGCCAACUUGGACCCUCUACCAAAUCCAGAAAGCAACAAUCAAAAAUUCCAAAUUUCACGCACAAUAGCUUGCCCAAUAAGGGUGCGCUUUUAGAGCAAGCUCAAUAACCUUAUCGAAUAGUCAAGCCACGUCCUCUGCAGACCAAUAUAAAAAACGGUACAUCAAUUAGUCUCUUCACGAAUUUUAAAAUUAUUUUUUAUUUGCAUGGGACCCACCACGUUCUCCUAGUCCAUCCUCAUCCCCAGCUCCUCCGAACAAGCUUCUGAUGCCCUGACCUC
RNAcentral lists this long non-coding RNA (668 nucleotides) under Setaria viridis. RNAcentral's name for it is "long non-coding RNA (SVIR_LNC006186)". The record is from RNAcentral. Lineage: Eukaryota; Viridiplantae; Streptophyta; Magnoliopsida; Poales; Poaceae.